CUGAGAGCCCGGGAGACUGAAAUAGUCUAUCUCCAGAACCAGAAUGAUAAGGGUACAGCAAUGCAAGCUUCUCUCCCCCCACUCCGCCAACGUGCCUAUCUCCUGCCUUGGAGGGACCAUCACUAGUGGUGAGAGGGCACUUGAAUCUCCAUCGCCCAUUCAAUCUUCACCUCUC
Molecule: small RNA, 175 nt
Filed under: Chrysemys picta bellii (western painted turtle)
Lineage: Eukaryota; Metazoa; Chordata; Testudines; Emydidae
Description: TUC338 (ENSCPBG00000012599.1)
Source: RNAcentral